Molecule: microRNA precursor, 84 nt
Organism: Ailuropoda melanoleuca (giant panda)
Lineage: Eukaryota; Metazoa; Chordata; Mammalia; Carnivora; Ursidae
Product: microRNA 26a-2
Source: Ensembl
GGCUGUGGCUGGAUUCAAGUAAUCCAGGAUAGGCUGUUUCCAUCUGUGAGGCCUAUUCUUGAUUACUUGUUUCUGGAGGCAGCU